GGGUGGUUUACUGCUUUUUUUCUUUGCAUGAUUGUGUUUAUUGGGUGCAAUAUAACAUGUCUCUGUGUUUUUUUUGUUGUUUUUUUAAGCCUUAUUUUCAUAAAUUUCACCUUUAUUGUAAGCCGCUUUCUCCUCUGUCAUUUGAACGACCGGUUGACUUCCUGAUUCUAUGAAACCACUCCCUCAGAAACAGGCAAUGGGCUCAGAUUGGUUAGUUGGGCCGGUGUGUUGUAAUUGGCUAAACUGUGUAGUGCAUGUUGUCUGGAAACUUCACGCCCAUUACCUUUACGGGCGAAAGUUGCAUGUGCUCCGGUCAAAUGUAAAUAAUGGUGUCGAUACUGCCGUAUCAAAGAAGUUUGAGCCAGAAUCAGACCCAGAAAGCGGCGAUGAAGAGAGUCAAGCAGAACCUCCCCAAACACGGCUCUUACAAAACGUUUCUGAAUGGUAAAUUU
Molecule: long non-coding RNA, 452 nt
Organism: Rhinichthys klamathensis goyatoka
Lineage: Eukaryota; Metazoa; Chordata; Actinopteri; Cypriniformes; Leuciscidae
Exons: 2
Source: RefSeq, a predicted model, not a curated record